GAGUUUGAUUCUGGCUCAGGACGAACGCUGGCGGCGUGCUAACACAUGCAAGUCUACGAGAAACGGGUAGCAAUAUCCGGAGUACAGUGGCGCACGGGGAGUAACACGUAGGCAACCUGCCUUUAGGACGGGGAUAAUCUCGCGAAAGCGGGCCUAAACCCGAUGACAUCGCGUUGCAGCAUUGUAAUGCGAUCAAACGCCCACAAGGCGCCUAGAAUGGGCCUGCGUCCCAUUAGGUAGUUGGCGGGGUAAUGGCCCACCAAGCCCACGAUGGGAGCUGGUCUGAGAGGAUGAUCAGCCACACUGGAACUGAGACACGGUCCAGACUCCUACGGAGGCAGCAGUGAGGAAUAUUGCGCAAUGGCCGAAAGGCUGACGCAGCGACGCCGCGUGAGGAUGAAGUCCGUUAGGAUGUAAACUCCUUUUGUAGGGGAUGAAUAGUUCCGAUUUAUGGGACCUGACCGUACCCUGCGAAUAAGGAUCGGCUAACUACGUGCCAGCAGCCGCGGUAAU
This 513-nucleotide ribosomal RNA is filed under the name uncultured Chlorobiota bacterium. RNAcentral describes it as "bacterial SSU rRNA". It matches the Rfam family "Bacterial small subunit ribosomal RNA", at positions 9 to 524 of the family's 1533-position model. Lineage: Bacteria; Pseudomonadati; Chlorobiota. The record is from RNAcentral.